RNAcentral lists this ribosomal RNA (253 nucleotides) under uncultured bacterium. RNAcentral describes it as "partial 16S ribosomal RNA". It matches the Rfam family "Bacterial small subunit ribosomal RNA", at positions 524 to 776 of the family's 1533-position model. The record is from RNAcentral.
UACGAAAGGGGCUAGCGUUGUUCGGAAUCACUGGGCUUAAAGGGCGCGUAGGCGGGCCAUCAAGUCCGGGGUGAAAUCCUCCGGCUUAACCGGAGAAUUGCCUUGGAUACUGGUGGUCUUGAGGGAAGUAGGGGUCUGCGGAACUUCCGGUGGAGCGGUGAAAUGUGUUGAUAUCGGAAGGAACGCCGGUGGCGAAAGCGGCGGACUGGGCUUCUUCUGACGCUGAGGCGCGAAAGCUAGGGGAGCAAACGGG